RNAcentral lists this small RNA (748 nucleotides) under Pan troglodytes (chimpanzee). Its description in RNAcentral is "retained intron". Lineage: Eukaryota; Metazoa; Chordata; Mammalia; Primates; Hominidae. The record is from RNAcentral.
AAAACAACUUCUAUGUGCAUGUGACCUUACUCAUUUUUUAGCUACAUUCUAACCUGUCAAGGGAACACAGAUUAUUUGCUUUCUUUGCUACAUCUAGAUUUGUUUAGAGUCAAGCAGUAGGAAUACGCAUUAUCUAUAGAUUUAAACCAAGGAAUUCUGUAAAGACUGUAGAAGUGAUUCUGAUAGAGAAGUGUAAUUACUCUAGUUCUAUGACAGAAUGGAUUAUGCCUCAUAGAAGUUAUUGGCAGUUUGUCUUAAUUUUCCUUUCCCUUUGCAGAACAAGAUUAAAGUCGUUGCAUUGAAAAUAACAAACAAUAUCAAUGUUUUAAUCAAGGAUCUCUUCCACAUUCCUCCUUCUUAUAAGAGCACAGUAACACUAUCCUGGAAACCUGUACAAAAGGUUGAGAUUGGGCAAAAGAGAGCCAGUGAAGAUACAACUUCAGGUUCACCACCCAAGAAAUCUUCAGCAGGACCAAAAAGAGAUGCCAGGCAGAUUUAUAACCCUCCCAGUGGGAAAUAUAGCAGCAAUUUGGGCAACUUUAAUUAUGGUGAGCGUUUCCGUUUGGGUACAAGGAAUAUGAGAGAUUAGGCAGAAAUUGUGUUAUAGUGUCAUGGUUCUAUCCAAUGACUUUUCUGAAUUAGCUUGGAGAACUAGGGCUGUUGAGGAAAUGAUUUAUCCCAUUCCUCUCUCAUUCACCCUUCUGGGCUGACUGUAUUGAGCAUGCAACAUUAAACAGUAAGCACUUAA